Molecule: ribosomal RNA, 450 nt
Filed under: uncultured bacterium
Lineage: Bacteria
Description: partial 16S ribosomal RNA
Rfam family: Bacterial small subunit ribosomal RNA
Source: RNAcentral
GUGGGGAAUUUUGGACAAUGGGCGCAAGCCUGAUCCAGCAAUGCCGCGUGCAGGAAGAAGGCCUUCGGGUUGUAAACUGCUUUUGUACGGAACGAAACGGUCCUGGUUAAUACCUGGGGCUAAUGACGGUACCGUAAGAAUAAGCACCGGCUAACUACGUGCCAGCAGCCGCGGUAAUACGUAGGGUGCGCGCGUUAAUCGGAAUUACUGGGCGUAAAGCGUGCGCAGGCGGUGCUGUAAGACAGGCGUGAAAUCCCCGGGCGCAACCUGGGAAUUGCGCUUGUGACUGCAGUGCUGGAGUACGGCAGAGGGGGAUGGAAUUCCGCGUGUAGCAGUGAAAUGCGUAGAUAUGCGGAGGAACACCGAUGGCGAAGGCAGUCCCCUGGGCCUGUACUGACGCUCAUGCACGAAAGCGUGGGGAGCAAACAGGAUUAGAUACCCCUGUAGUCC